UGCUGCAGUGAUGACAAUUAUUUGCUACUCUCGACAAGAUGGAUGACGAGACUUACCAACCACCAUGUUAAACAAUCUGAGGCG
Molecule: small nucleolar RNA, 84 nt
Filed under: Stegastes partitus (bicolor damselfish)
Lineage: Eukaryota; Metazoa; Chordata; Actinopteri; Pomacentridae
Description: Small nucleolar RNA SNORD24 (ENSSPAG00000018105.1)
Source: RNAcentral